UACGUAGGGCGCAAGCGUUGUCCGGAAUUAUUGGGCGUAAAGAGCUCGUAGGCGGCCUGUCGCGUCUGCUGUGAAAUCCCGGGGCUUAACCCCGGGCGUGCAGUGGAUACGGGCUGGCUGGAGGCAGGCAGGGGAGAACGGAAUUCCCGGUGUAGCGGUGAAAUGCGCAGAUAUCGGGAGGAACACCGGUGGCGAAGGCGGCAUCCUGGACCGGCAUUGACGCUGAGGCGCGAAAGCCAGGGGAGCAAACGGG
This 253-nucleotide ribosomal RNA is filed under the name uncultured bacterium. Its description in RNAcentral is "partial 16S ribosomal RNA". It matches the Rfam family "Bacterial small subunit ribosomal RNA", at positions 524 to 776 of the family's 1533-position model. The record is from RNAcentral.